GUGAGGAAUAUUGGGCAAUGGGCGAAAGCCUGACCCAGCCACGCCGCGUGAGUGAUGAAGGCCUUCGGGUUGUAAAGCUCUGUGGGGAGGGAAGAAAAAGCGCAGGAGUAACUGCCUGUGUGUUGACGGUACCUCCUUAGCAAGCACCGGCUAACUCUGUGCCAGCAGCCGCGGUAAUACAGAGGGUGCAAACGUUGCUCGGAAUUACUGGGCGUAAAGCGCGUGUAGGCUGACAUGCAAGUCGGGUGUGAAAUCCCAGGGCUCAACCUUGGAACUGCACUCGAAACUGCACGUCUUGAGUACUGGAGAGGGAAGCGGAAUUCCGGGUGUAGAGGUGAAAUUCGUAGAUAUCCGGAGGAACACCAGUGGCGAAGGCGGCUUCCUGGACAGUAACUGACGCUGAGACGCGAAAGCGUGGGGAGCAAACAGGAUUAGAUACCCCGGUAGUCC
RNAcentral lists this ribosomal RNA (450 nucleotides) under uncultured bacterium. RNAcentral's name for it is "bacterial SSU rRNA". It matches the Rfam family "Bacterial small subunit ribosomal RNA", at positions 354 to 796 of the family's 1533-position model. The record is from RNAcentral.